ACUCAAAUGAAUAGACGGGGGCCCGCACAAGCGGCGGAGCAUGUGGCUUAAUUCGAUGCAACGCGAAGAACCUUACCUGGGCUUGACAUGCAGGGAAAUCCGGUAGAGAUAUCGGGUCCGCAAGGGUCCUGCACAGGUGGUGCAUGGUUGUCGUCAGCUCGUGUCGUGAGAUGUUGGGUUAAGUCCCGCAACGAGCGCAACCCUCGUCCUAUGUUGCCAGCGGGUAAUGCCGGGGACUCAUAGGAUACUGCCGGGGUCAACUCGGAGGAAGGUGGGGAUGACGUCAAAUCAUCAUGCCCCUUAUGUCCAGGGCUGCACACAUGCUACAAUGGCCGGUACAAAGGGCUGCGAAACCGCAAGGUAGAGCGAAUCCCAAAAAGCCGGUCUCAGUUCGGAUUGGGGUCUGCAACUCGACCCCAUGAAGUCGGAGUCGCUAGUAAUCGCAGAUCAGCAUUGCUGCGGUGAAUACGUUCCCGGGCCUUGUACACACCGCCCGU
RNAcentral lists this ribosomal RNA (497 nucleotides) under uncultured bacterium. RNAcentral describes it as "partial 16S ribosomal RNA". It matches the Rfam family "Bacterial small subunit ribosomal RNA", at positions 899 to 1397 of the family's 1533-position model. The record is from RNAcentral.